Molecule: ribosomal RNA, 228 nt
Filed under: uncultured Pseudomonas sp.
Lineage: Bacteria; Pseudomonadati; Pseudomonadota; Gammaproteobacteria; Pseudomonadales; Pseudomonadaceae
Description: partial 16S ribosomal RNA
Rfam family: Bacterial small subunit ribosomal RNA
Source: RNAcentral
CUGCCUGGUAGUGGGGGACGAACGUUUCGAAAGGAACGCUAAUACCGCAUACGUCCUACGGAGAAAGCAGGGACCUUCGGGCCUUGCGCUAUCAGAUGAGCCUAGGUCGGAUUAGCUAGUUGGUGAGGUAAUGGCUCACCAAGGCGACGAUCCGUAACUGGUCUGAGAGGAUGAUCAGUCACACUGGAACUGAGACACGGUCCAGACUCCUACCGGGAGGCAGCAGGG